CUCUGUGACUCCUACGGGAGGCAGCAGUGGGGAAUAUUGCACAAUGGGCGCAAGCCUGAUGCAGCCAUGCCGCGUGUGUGAAGAAGGCCUUCGGGUGUAAAGCACUUUCAGUUGUGAGGAAGGUGGUGUCGUUAAUAGCGGCAUCAUUUGACGUUAGCAACAGAAGAAGCACCGGCUAACUCCGUGCCAGCAGCCGCGGUAAUACGGAGGGUGCGAGCGUUAAUCGGAAUUACUGGGCGUAAAGCGCAUGCAGGUGGUUUGUUAAGUCAGAUGUGAAAGCCCCGGGGCUCAACCUCGGAACUGCAUUUGAAACUGGCAGACUAGAGUACUGUAGAGGGGGUAGAAUUUCAGGUGUAGCGGUGAAAUGCGUAGAGAUCUGAAGGAAUACCGGUGGCGAAGGCGGCCCCCUGGACAGAUACUGACACUCAGAUGCGAAAGCGUGGGGAGCAAACAGGAUUAGAUACCCUGGUAG
RNAcentral lists this ribosomal RNA (472 nucleotides) under uncultured bacterium. RNAcentral describes it as "bacterial SSU rRNA". It matches the Rfam family "Bacterial small subunit ribosomal RNA", at positions 328 to 793 of the family's 1533-position model. The record is from RNAcentral.